This 207-nucleotide ribosomal RNA is filed under the name uncultured bacterium. Its description in RNAcentral is "partial 16S ribosomal RNA". It matches the Rfam family "Bacterial small subunit ribosomal RNA", at positions 1294 to 1500 of the family's 1533-position model. The record is from RNAcentral.
CGGAUUGAAGGCUGAAAUUCGCCUUCAUGAAGCCGGAAUUGCUAGUAAUGGCAGGUCAGAAUACUGCCGUGAAUACGUUCCCGGGCCUUGUACACACCGCCCGUCACACCAUGAGAGUUGGGAAUACCCGAAGCCUGUGAGCUAACCGAAAGGGAGCAGCAGUCGAAGGUAGAAUCAAUGAUUGGGGUGAAGUCGUAACAAGGUACC